AUUGAACGCUGGCGGAAUGCUUUACACAUGCAAGUCGAACGGCAGCACGGGGGCAACCCUGGUGGCGAGUGGCGAACGGGUGAGUAAUACAUCGGAACGUGCCCAGUCGUGGGGGAUAACGUAGCGAAAGCUACGCUAAUACCGCAUACGAUCUCUGGAUGAAAGCGGGGGACCGCAAGGCCUCGCGCGAUUGGAGCGGCCGAUGGCAGAUUAGGUAGUUGGUGGGGUAAAGGCUCACCAAGCCGACGAUCUGUAGCUGGUCUGAGAGGACGACCAGCCACACUGGGACUGAGACACGGCCCAGACUCCUACGGGAGGCAGCAGUGGGGAAUUUUGGGACAAUGGGCGAAAGCCUGAUCCAGCCAUUCCGCGUGCAGGAUGAAGGCCCUCGGGUUGUAAACUGCUUUUGUACGGAACGAAACGGUCCUGGUUAAUACCUGGGGCUAAUGACGGUACCGUAAGAAUAAGCACCGGCUAACUACGUGCCAGCAGCCGCGGU
This 499-nucleotide ribosomal RNA is filed under the name uncultured bacterium. RNAcentral's name for it is "bacterial SSU rRNA". It matches the Rfam family "Bacterial small subunit ribosomal RNA", at positions 29 to 521 of the family's 1533-position model. The record is from RNAcentral.